ACUUCUUGUUUCCUGGGCGGGUUCGCCCGCCACCAGGACCCCCAUAAACCUUUUGCAAUGGCAAUCAGCGUCAGUAACAACACAAUAAUUACAACUUUCAACAACGGAUCUCUUGGUUCUGGCAUCGAUGAAGAACGCAGCGAAAUGCGAUAAGUAGUGUGAAUUGCAGAAUUCAGUGAAUCAUCGAAUCUUUGAACGCACAUUGCGCCCUUUGGUAUUCCAAAGGGCAUGCCUGUUCGAGCGUCAUUUGUACCCUCAAGCUUUGCUUGGUGUUGGGCGUCUUUGUCUCCGGCUUGCCUGGAGACUCGCCUUAAAGUGAUUGGCAGCCGGCCUACUGGUUUCGGAGCGCAGCACAAGUCGCGCUCUCUUCCAGCCAAGGUCAGCAUCCACCAAGCCACCUUUUUUACCUUUGACCUCGGAUCAGGUAGGGAUACCCGCUGAACUUAAGCA
This 450-nucleotide ribosomal RNA is filed under the name Alternaria eureka. Its description in RNAcentral is "eukaryotic LSU rRNA". The stretch from base 93 to 246 matches the Rfam family "5.8S ribosomal RNA". The record is from RNAcentral. Lineage: Eukaryota; Fungi; Ascomycota; Dothideomycetes; Pleosporales; Pleosporaceae.